This 496-nucleotide ribosomal RNA is filed under the name uncultured bacterium. RNAcentral describes it as "partial 16S ribosomal RNA". It matches the Rfam family "Bacterial small subunit ribosomal RNA", at positions 29 to 507 of the family's 1533-position model. The record is from RNAcentral.
AUGCACGCUGGCGGCGUGCCUAAUACCUGCAAGUCGAGCGAACAGACGAGGAGCUUGCUCCUCUGACGUUAGCGGCGGACGGGUGAGUAACACGUGGAUAACCUACCUAUAAGACUGGGAUAACUUCGGGAAACCGGAGCUAAUACCGGAUAAUAUAUUGAACCGCAUGGUUCAAUAGUGAAAGACGGUUUUGCUGUCACUUAUAGAUGGAUCCGCGCCGCAUUAGCUAGUUGGUAAGGUAACGGCUUACCAAGGCGACGAUGCGUAGCCGACCUGAGAGGGUGAUCGGCCACACUGGAACUGAGACACGGUCCAGACUCCUACGGGAGGCAGCAGUAGGGAAUCUUCCGCAAUGGGCGAAAGCCUGACGGAGCAACGCCGCGUGGGUGAUGAAGGUCUUCGGAUCGUAAAACUCUGUUAUUAGGGAAGAACAAAUGUGUAAGUAACUAUGCACGUCUUGACGGUACCUAAUCAGAAAGCCACGGCUAACUACGUG